Molecule: ribosomal RNA, 218 nt
Filed under: uncultured fungus
Lineage: Eukaryota; Fungi
Description: partial small subunit ribosomal RNA
Rfam family: Eukaryotic small subunit ribosomal RNA
Source: RNAcentral
GCUUCUGCCUGCCGGUCCGCCUUCUUGGUGUGUACUGGUUUCGGUGGAAGCUUACCUCUUGGUGGGUCUGCAUGUCCUUUAUUGGAUGUGUUGAUUAACCAGGACUUUUACUUUGAGAAAAUUAGAGUGUUCAAAGCAGGCUUUCGCCCGAAUACAUUAGCAUGGAAUAAUAGAAUAGGACGCGCGUCUCUAUUUUGUUGGUUUCUAGAUUCGCCGUA